UACCUGACAAAGGUUUUGGUUCAUUACAAACUUCAUAUUAGAUUUGACAGCGAAUCGUUUUGGAAUUAAAGGUUCUUCCAUAAUCUCUCUAUUAAAAUCGUUCCACAGUCUCUCGUAGUCUGCCUCUGUUUCACAGCUGAUCAUUUGAAUCAUCAAUGAUCGAAAAUCUCUGGACGCUUUGUCGUGUAGGUUUCGUUUGUCGGCUGGUCUGAGGAAUGAAACAGUGGCUGCGAGUAUUGUUGAAAUAGCGCCAAAUGCUGCUACUCCUUCAGGCGGAAUGAAAGACAGCAAAGCUGCAGCAGUAGUACAUGCUAAAAAGCCAAAUCGG
Non-coding RNA from Paramuricea clavata, 328 nucleotides. Lineage: Eukaryota; Metazoa; Cnidaria; Anthozoa; Malacalcyonacea; Plexauridae. The record is from the annotation of a GenBank genome assembly.